UACGUAUGGUGCAAGCGUUAUCCGGAUUUACUGGGUGUAAAGGGAGCGUAGACGGAGUGGCAAGUCUGAUGUGAAAACCCGGGGCUCAACCCCGGGACUGCAUUGGAAACUGUUAAUCUAGAGUACCGGAGAGGUAAGCGGAAUUCCUAGUGUAGCGGUGAAAUGCGUAGAUAUUAGGAGGAACACCAGUGGCGAAGGCGGCUUACUGGACGGUAACUGACGUUGAGGCUCGAAAGCGUGGGGAGCAAACAGG
Molecule: ribosomal RNA, 253 nt
Filed under: Mediterraneibacter faecis JCM 15917
Lineage: Bacteria; Bacillati; Bacillota; Clostridia; Lachnospirales; Lachnospiraceae
Description: [Ruminococcus] faecis JCM 15917 partial 16S ribosomal RNA
Rfam family: Bacterial small subunit ribosomal RNA
Source: RNAcentral